This 29-nucleotide non-coding RNA is filed under the name Homo sapiens (human). The record is from RNAcentral. Lineage: Eukaryota; Metazoa; Chordata; Mammalia; Primates; Hominidae.
AAACAGAUGUGCUCAAGCUGAGUGGUCCA